Molecule: long non-coding RNA, 932 nt
Organism: Vicugna pacos (alpaca)
Lineage: Eukaryota; Metazoa; Chordata; Mammalia; Artiodactyla; Camelidae
Source: RefSeq, a predicted model, not a curated record
AGAGAAAGACAAAACCUUACUCAUUGUGGGAAACAGCUGCCAACCUCAUGCCAGAAUCUGGGAGGAGUAAUACUAAUGACAACAGCAGAGGAUCGCGCUGGAGAGAAACCUCAGGACGCAGAGACCAGGGACAAAGGCUGCGUGGGAUUGUGGUCAAACCAUAGGACCUGGAGUCCUGGGCUGCUUGGGUCCAAGUGCUGACCUCACCACUAACCAUUGUGUGAUUUUGUGCUCAGUUAUCUACUGCUAUUUGGGCUGGGCUCAGCUGAGAAGUUCUUCUGCUGGUCUUGCCUAAGGUGGCUGCUCUCAUGUGGGGCUUAACUGAGGUGAAGAAUUCAGGAUGGCCUCACUCAAAAGCCUGGCAGUUGGUGUUGGCUGUCAGCCCCACCACACAGAGGAUGGUGGCGAAGUCAGAGCGUGGAGGCCACCUGCCCGAGGUGACACAGCCAAGGGGCCAAGGUUCUGCCCUCCAGCCCUGUGCGGUGCACAGAUCCACCACGCAACAAGAUGACUCAGCGCAGCUAUCAGACACAAUGAUGCCGGCGCCAGGUAACAGCACGGAAGGAUGUUGGUGGCAGAAUGUUGAGCGAAAAAAAGCAGUUGAGCACGUCCAUUUUUUGCCAAAAUAAAAAGUGCAUUCAAUGUGCAGAGAAAAAAGGCUGGAAGGAUUGACUACACACAUUAACAGGGAGGUUACCUCUGGGGAUGGAUUCGGUGAUUUUGAUUUUCUGCAUGAACAUAUACAGCUUUGGUCAUCAGAACAAAAUAAUAGUAAAAAUUAAAACCACCCCGCCGCCGGGCCUGUGUUGACCACGCCCGCCUCUGAGUUUGUUCUGGGAGAUGGGAACAGGCACUGCCGCAGCUGCUGCAGCCCAGGGACCCCAGGCCCGCUCCCCCCGCCCUGGGGCUUCUCCCCAGUGCUGCUGUCUGCA